This 253-nucleotide ribosomal RNA is filed under the name uncultured bacterium. RNAcentral describes it as "partial 16S ribosomal RNA". It matches the Rfam family "Bacterial small subunit ribosomal RNA", at positions 524 to 776 of the family's 1533-position model. The record is from RNAcentral.
UACAGGGGGGGCAAGCGUUGUUCGGAAUUACCGGGCGUAAAGGGCGCGUAGGCGGCCCGCUAAGUCGAACGUGAAAUCCCCGAGCUCAACUCGGGAACUGCGUCCGAUACUGGCGGGCUUGAGUCCGGGAGAGGGAUGCGGAAUUCCAGGUGUAGCGGUGAAAUGCGUAGAUAUCUGGAGGAACACCGGUGGCGAAGGCGGCAUCCUGGACCGGUAUUGACGCUGAGGCGCGAAAGCUAGGGGAGCAAACGGG